UACGAAGGGGGCUAGCGUUGCUCGGAAUUACUGGGCGUAAAGGGCGCGUAGGCGGACAUUUAAGUUAGAGGUGAAAGCCCAGGGCUCAACCCUGGAAGUGCAUUCGAAACUGGCAGGCUUGAAUAUGGAAGAGGGUCGCGGAAUUCCCGGUGUAGAGGUGAAAUUCGUAGAUAUCGGGAGGAACACCAGUGGCGAAGGCGGCGACCUGGGCCAAUAUUGACGCUGAGGUGCGAAAGCGUGGGGAGCAAACAGG
RNAcentral lists this ribosomal RNA (253 nucleotides) under uncultured prokaryote. Its description in RNAcentral is "partial 16S ribosomal RNA". It matches the Rfam family "Bacterial small subunit ribosomal RNA", at positions 524 to 776 of the family's 1533-position model. The record is from RNAcentral.